Long non-coding RNA from Gorilla gorilla gorilla (western lowland gorilla), 2613 nucleotides. RefSeq lists it as uncharacterized. NCBI's taxonomy places the organism in Eukaryota, Metazoa, Chordata, Mammalia, Primates, Hominidae. The transcript is spliced from 3 exons. The record is from RefSeq and is a predicted model, not a curated record.
AUCUUGCUCAGCUCCUCUUAGGAACCAAAUAUCUGGGUACCCCCAAAAUGUAUACAUUGAACCACUAUCCCUUAAUGUGGCUAUAGUUGGAGCUGGUGCCUCUAAGGAAGCAAUUAAGGUUCAAUGAGAUUAUGAGGGUGGAGUGCAAUCCAACAGGAUGAGUGUCCUUAGAAGAAGAGACACCAGAGAGCUCUCUCUCCCCCCACUCCCUCACACUCAGAGGACAGGCCUUGUGAGGACACAGUAAGAAGGCGGCCUCCCACAGCCCAGGGAAGAGCCCUCCCCAGAUGCUAGCCCUACUGGCCUAUGGAUCCUGCACUGCUGGUCUCAGCCCUUCUGGCACCAAGAUCCUGCACUCCUGGUCUCCCGAAGUGUGAGGGAUAAAUGUCUGCUGUUGGAGCUGCCCAGUCUGUGGCAUUUCCUUAUGGCAAAGAGAGCCAACUAAGACAACUCCUGACAUUCAUUAAGGAAAAUGGAAGAGCCAGUAACUCUGCUGCUUUAUCCUUCACAGAGGCAGGAAUCUGAAUUUCAUCAGGAUUUAAAACUGUCUGUCUCUGGAGGCUGGGUAAUGCUGACCAGGACAAGAUCAUUAUCUGUGGAGGCCCUUUCAUUUCAUCAUACUCUCAAGGCUGAAACUUGAUUUCUCCCUCAGAGCUCAAGGCAAGACCAAUUCUCUCCUCUGUGAACAAGAAACACAACAGCUGCUGUAAAAUCUUCAGUGUAAAUGGCAGACUUGCAGCUGCAGAAAAGCAAAGUCAUGGUACAACAGAAAAAUUUGAGAAACACUUCCAAAUCGCAAGUGAAAUUAAAAUAUAGAAGUGAAAAGUCAAGAACAGAGGCAGGUUGGAUGUGAAGGUCUUACAGAGCCAAACCACACACAGCAGAUGCUCCUGAGGAGAAAAUGAAGAAAGGAGCAGAAGUAGCAGCCAAAAACAUAAUAGAAGAAAACUUUCAAGGUGGAGAAAUUGAAAAUGCUGAGCAAAAAAAUAAUGCAGAGAGAGCAAUAAUGCCAGAGGGUGUUGUGCUACACUGAAGUUUGCACUUCAGGAAAAACAGGACAUCAGAAAAGCUCCCAAGAGGAAAAAAGUAAACAGAUUAUCUUCAAAUAAGCUAAAAUUAAGUUGUCUUCAAAUGUGUCUGCUGAAAUAAAAUAUGCCUCCAGACCAUGUGAUAUGGUUCCACUGUGUCCCCACCAAAAUCUCAUCUUGAAUUGUAGCUCUCAUGAUCCCCAAGUAUUGUGGGAGGGACCUGGUAGGAGGUAAUUAAAUCAUGGAGGUGGUUACUCUCAUUCUGUUCUCAUGAUAGAGUGUGAGUUCUCACAAGAUCUGAUGGUUUUAUAAUGGGCUUUUUCCUCUUUGCUCAGCACUUCUCCUUCCUGCCAUCAUGUGAAUAAGGACAUGUUUUCUUCCCCUUCCACCAUGAUUGUAAGUUUCCCUAGGCCUCCCCAGCAGUGAAGAACUGUGAGUCAAUUAAAUCUCUUUCCUUUAUAAAUUACCCAGUCUCAGGCAGUUCUUUACAGCAGCGUGAGAAUGGACUAAUACACCAUGGGAUAACUGAUACUGGCAUAUCUGUGUGGGAAACCCCAGGACCUGAGAACUUUCUGGCCAUUUCUAAAAUCUCCAGAUGGCUGCACCUGUCACCUCUUCUGUAAAAGCUGCUUGAACGGAAUCCUUCAAAAUACCAAACAGGACAGCAGGGACAUCACCAUAGAAAGAAUUGGGCUGGAAUGAUAAGCCAGAUUUUUUAAAAGAAGAAAUAUGUGGACAGAAAAUAUGUGACUGAAACACCAGGAGUUUGAUGUUGGUCUUGUUGCUCACUGCACAGAAAGCCAGUCACUGAGACAAUGAAUACUGCAGGGAAGAAGGAAGGCUUCAUGCAGGUGUGCAGCUGAGGAGGAAGAGGAGAUGAAGACACAGAUAUGCACAGAGGGGCAGCCCUGUGAGGACACGCGAAGACGGCGUGUGCGAGCCAGGGAGACAGAAACCAACUGUGACAACCCCUGAUCUCAGACUGCCAGCCUCCAGAGCUGGGGGAAAGUACGUUUCUGCUAUUGAAGCCCCCAGUCUGUGGUGCCGGGUUACGCGCCAGUACCCACAUGCCAGCCGAGACAGCAAUAGCGAGACACUCCGGACAGGUGAAGGGCGUGCGGCCUUCCCACCACCCACCUGAAAACACUGCCUAAAGAUGAGCCCAGUCCACAAAGCCUGCAUGAAAUGACGCGUUCAACAGCAGGAAAGACCUGGAUGGCAUAAAAAGAAAAAGAGUCAGGGAGACCAAGUCAGGCGAGGGGAGAAUGAGACUGGAAAUGGUUUGGCUGUGUCCCUACACAAAUCUCAUCUUUAAUUGCAGCUCCCAUAAUUCCCAUGUGUUGUGGGAGGGACCCAGUGGGAGAUAAUUGAACCGUGGGGGUGGUUUGCACAUAGCGUUCUCAUGGUAGUGAAUAAGUCUCCUGAGAUCUGAUGGUUUUAAAAGGGGAAACUCCUCUCGCUUGACUCUCAUUCUGUUUUGUCUGCCGCCACGUAAGACGUGCCUUUCGCCUUUCACCAUGAUUGUGAGGCUUCCCCAGCCACGUGGAACUGUGUGUCUGUUAAACCUCUUUCUCUUCAUAAAUUA